This 468-nucleotide ribosomal RNA is filed under the name uncultured bacterium. Its description in RNAcentral is "partial 16S ribosomal RNA". It matches the Rfam family "Bacterial small subunit ribosomal RNA", at positions 28 to 507 of the family's 1533-position model. The record is from RNAcentral.
GACGAACGCUGGCGGCGUGCUUAACACAUGCAAGUCGAACGGAAAGGCCCUGCUUUUGUGGGGUGCUCGAUUGGCGAACGGGGGAGGAACACGUGAGUAACCUGCCCUUGUCUUUGGGAUAAGUUCAGGAAACUGGGGCUAAGACCGGAUAGGAUCUCCUGCUGCGUGGUGGGGGUUGGAACGUUGCGGCGGGUGGGGAUGGACGCGCGGCUUAUCAGCUUGUUGGUGGGGUAGUGGCUUACCAAGGCUUUGACGGGUAGCCGGCCUGAGAGGGUGACCGGCCACAUUGGGACUGCGAUACGGAGCAGACUCCAACGGGAGGCAGCAGUGGGGAAUAUUGCACAAUGGGCGGAAGCCGGAUGCAGCAACGCCGCGUGCGGGAUGACGGCCUUCGGGUUGUAAACCGCUUUCGCCUGUGACGAAGCGUGAGUGACGGUAAUGGGUAAAGAAGCACCGGCUAACUACGUG